Molecule: long non-coding RNA, 377 nt
Organism: Mauremys reevesii (Reeves's turtle)
Lineage: Eukaryota; Metazoa; Chordata; Testudines; Geoemydidae
Exons: 3
Source: RefSeq, a predicted model, not a curated record
UGGGGAGGGGGGCAAGGAGAGAAAGGACUACAGAUACUCCAUGAUUCAGGGGAGAAACCAUGUGCAUGAGGGCAGAGAGAGGAAGAAUCCUGAACUAGAGGACUCUGACCUAAGACCAAAGAAUGCUCUAGGAGUGAAGAAAGAAUUUAAACAACCAAGUAUCACUAGAAGUGAAAGUACAGAUUCCAAUAUUUGAAGGUACAAAUCUGAACUUGAGAGAAGUCAGCAAACAUUGAUUACAGGAGACUUAUCACUCAGGAGGACACCACAGAAGAAUUUUUCUGCUCCUUUAACACCAAAUCAAAAUCACAAUGGUCACUCCCCCUCCCCCCUAGUAUGCAAUUGAAUAAAAUGUAAAUUCCUGUGAAAGUACAGGU